Molecule: ribosomal RNA, 489 nt
Filed under: uncultured bacterium
Lineage: Bacteria
Description: partial 16S ribosomal RNA
Rfam family: Bacterial small subunit ribosomal RNA
Source: RNAcentral
GACGAACGCUGGCGGCGUGCUUAACACAUGCAAGUCGAACGGUGAAGGGAUCAGCUUGCUGGUUCUGGAUGAGUGGCGAACGGGUGAGUAACACGUGAGUAACCUGCCCCCUUCUUCUGGAUAACCGCAUGAAAGUGUGGCUAAUACGGGAUAUUCUGGGUCUGUCGCAUGAUGGGUCUGGGAAAGAUAUUGUUUCGGUGGGGGAUGGGCUCGCGGCCUAUCAGCUUGUUGGUGGGGUGAUGGCCUACCAAGGCGGUGACGGGUAGCCGGCCUGAGAGGGGGGGCGGUCACACUGGGACUGAGACACGGCGCAGACUCCUACGGGAGGCAGCAGUGGGGAAUAUUGCAGAAUGGGCGCAAGCCUGAUGCAGCGACGCCGCGUGAGGGAUGGAGGCCUGCGGGUUGUAAGCCUCUUGCGCCAGUGAAGCAGGCCUGCUCCAUGUGGGUGGGUUGACGGUAGCUGGAAAAGAAGCGCCGGCUAACUACGUG